CCGUGAACCUUUACUAUAGCUUGACACUGAACAUUGAGCCUUGAUGUGUAGGAUAGGUGGGAGGCUUAGAAGUGUGGACGCCAGUCUGCAUGGAGCCGACCUUGAAAUACCACCCUUUAAUGUUUGAUGUUCUAACGUUGACCCGUAAUCCGGGUUGCGGACAGUGUCUGGUGGGUAGUUUGACUGGGGCGGUCUCCUCCUAAAGAGUAACGGAGGAGCACGAAGGUUGGCUAAUCCUGGUCGGACAUCAGGAGGUUAGUGCAAUGGCAUAAGCCAGCUUGACUGCGAGCGUGACGGCGCGAGCAGGUGCGAAAGCAGGUCAUAGUGAUCCGGUGGUUCUGAAUGGAAGGGCCAUCGCUCAACGGAUAAAAGGUACUCCGGGGAUAACAGGCUGAUACCGCCCAAGAGUUCAUAUCGACGGCGGUGUUUGGCACCUCGAUGUCGGCUCAUCACAUCCUGGGGCUGAAGUAGGUCCCAAGGGUAUGGCUGUUCGCCAUUUAAAGUGGUACGCGAGCUGGGUUUAGAACGUCGUGAGACAGUUCGGUCCCUAUCUGCCGUGGGCGCUGGAGAACUGAGGGGGGCUGCUCCUAGUACGAGAGGACCGGAGUGGACGCAUCACUGGUGUUCGGGUUGUCAUGCCAAUGGCACUGCCCGGUAGCUAAAUGCGGAAGAGAUAAGUGCUGAAAGCAUCUAAGCACGAAACUUGCCCCGAGAUGAGUUCUCCCUGACUCCUUGAGAGUCCUGAAGGAACGUUGAAGACGACGACGUUGAUAGGCCGGGUGUGUAAGCGCAGCGAUGCGUUGAGCUAACCGGUACUAAUGAACCGUGAGGCUUAACCUUACAACGCCGAAGGUGUUU
RNAcentral lists this ribosomal RNA (858 nucleotides) under Escherichia coli. RNAcentral's name for it is "partial 23S ribosomal RNA". It matches the Rfam family "Bacterial large subunit ribosomal RNA", at positions 2091 to 2925 of the family's 2925-position model. Lineage: Bacteria; Pseudomonadati; Pseudomonadota; Gammaproteobacteria; Enterobacterales; Enterobacteriaceae. The record is from RNAcentral.